Molecule: ribosomal RNA, 486 nt
Filed under: uncultured bacterium
Lineage: Bacteria
Description: bacterial SSU rRNA
Rfam family: Bacterial small subunit ribosomal RNA
Source: RNAcentral
AUUGAACGCUGGCGGCAUGCUUUACACAUGCAAGUCGAACGGCAGCGGCGGGGGCAACCCUGGCGGCGAGUGGCGAACGGGUGAGUAAUGUAUCGGAACGUAUCCUGUAAUGGGGGAUAACCAGUCGAAAGAUUGGGUAAUACCGCAUACGCACGAGAGUGGAAAGUAGGGGAUCGCAAGACCUUACGUUAUAGGAGCGGCCGAUAUCUGAUUAGCUAGUUGGUGGGGUAAAGGCCUACCAAGGCGACGAUCAGUAGCUGGUCUGAGAGGACGACCAGCCACACUGGGACUGAGACACGGCCCAGACUCCUACGGGAGGCAGCAGUGGGGAAUUUUGGACAAUGGGCGAAAGCCUGAUCCAGCCAUGCCGCGUGCAGGAAGAAGGCCUUCGGGUUGUAAACUGCUUUAGUCUAGGAAAAAGGGGUGCGAGGUUAAUACCCUCGUGCUUUGAUGGUACUGGAAGAAUAAGCACCGGCUAACUACGUG